ACAUUUACAACUACUCAUUUUCAUUUCUAAUGUUUAAACAAAUCAAUAAUGGGUAGUUGUAAAUACUCUUAAAAUACGUAUUAAAAAUAUUUCAAGUGCAUACAAGUAUUUCUGCAACAUCUCCAACUUAUUUUGGUGUACUUUAUGUAUUAAUUAUUACUAAUUUGGGUAGUCUGUGUUUCUUAGGUCACCCCUAAGCCUUAUUGUUACUAGUUUAACAUAUUGCUGUCAGUAAAUUUGUGCCAGAAAAAAGGGAUUAAGUUUGUAGGGAAGGUAAGCUUGUAUGCUAAAUGUGGCAAUGGUGGUGUUCAACUUAUUAAGAACUUUAAACUAAGUAAUCACUCUAAAUGUGUUUGAUUUUACCUUCAGCUAUUUGUUUUAGCUGCUAUUUGCUUUAACAAUUUUCUAAGUUUACCACAUUAUGUAUCAUUAGCUACUAUCAGUUACAUGGAUUAAUUAAGCGAUCAUACUCAAAAUUAAAAAAAAAAAAGGAUCAAAUGAAGAUUGGAAUAGAGGCAAGCAACGAUAUGGUGCAUCAAGUUGAAUUUGGUGUAUUAUGCACCAAGAUAAUUGAAUUUGAUAAAUUUAGAUCAUUGUAAAUGUACUUCCUCAUUAUUCAAAUCUAAUCGUUGAACUAUGUUAAUGCAUCUAACACAAGAUAUUUUAAUAGAAGACUUUUUACUAGAAACUGGAAAUAAUCCAAUAGUUACACAAGCAUGUAAAGUUUGAAUUUAUUUUACUAUCUUCGUUGUGUGGAAAAAAGAAUAUUAAGAUUAAGACACAGCAACGGAGAAAGAAGAUUUGGUGGACAUGUGAAAUAGGACUGAAAGAGCUGGUUUAGGUUAUGUUAGGCUCUCCCACAAGUGCUAUGAAAUUGACAUCAACUCUUCUUGACAAAUAGGGCUUCUCCAAAAAGAGAAAAUAACUGAAAACAAAAAUCCUAGAAAUCUUUCUAUAUCUAAUAUCUAAUCUAUUUUAACACCCUGUUUGAAAUAAAAUUUUUGUGACUAAUUCAAGUUCCUCAUAGCCAAAAUUGUAGAAUCAGCAUUUACUCUGCAAGUGGAAAUGCUUUUACCUAGUUGAAUAAUGACAAAAAUCCUCACAUGUGCAAUCAAGAAAGGAAUAACUUCUUUUAGUGCCCUAGAAAAAUCCUCUUACUACAUGUGAAAUAUUGAAUUAUGUUUAUAUAUACUAGAAAAUAAGAAAAAUAAGGAAAUAGCAUCAGGAUGUUAGAUACAUGCACGUUGGAAGAUUUUUAGCUAGGGAAAUGAUCCUCGUUAUUAUCAAACAUUAAGUAUUGAUUUGCAACUCAAUUUAGACCAAAUAAAUCAAGGUGAACCUUAACACAAUCCAGAUAUCUUCAAAAAAAUCAAGUACACUAUUUGAAGUCAAAAUACAGAGGCUCGCUUGUUUUGCUACAAAUUUGUUAAAAGAAAAAGAAAAGAAAAAAGCAACACAGAAAAUGCUGAAAGAAUUGCUUGGAAUGAGAUAAACAACUUUUUCAGUUAUAUGCUUGUAAAAUGUUUUAAACAGAAUAAAAAUUUUCAUUUGGUGGAAUACCAUAAAGGGCACAUCAACUAUCAACUAUGCACCUUAAAGCAUUUCAAGUUAGGAAACAACCGAAGCAAUUCUUCGCGGCUCCGUCUCUGCAAAGAGGUAAACUGUUAAAAAACGGGUCCAACUAAUACUUGUAAUUUGUAUAUAUGGAGCUACUUCCAAGCACAAAUUUACCUUGAUUCCUAUACAGCCAUUCACAUCAAGAGUUGUAAUUUUGUCAGAACAGGACUUUGAGAGUUCCUCCAGGCAUUUAUCAGUCACACCAGUUAUUCCAAACAAGCUGCAAACAUUUCCUUUCAACACAUUAGCAAGAUAAGAGUUUUUUAAGGUAAAAAAUAAUCACAAUCCCCGAAUCCUAACAUUCUUGUAGGUGCUAUUGUUGGUGGACCUGAUCUUCAUGAUAGGUUCCCUGAUCAACGGUCAGAUUAUGAACAAUCUGAGCCAGCUACUUAUAUCAAUGCACCACUUGUUGGAACACUAGCUUAUCUUGCACACUCAUUUGGUCAACUCUAGAAGGAGACUAUUGUGUCCCAUUUUCGAGAAAUACUUGCAUGUUUCCCGUGUUUUAAGAACAUUUACAACUACUCAUUUUCAUUUCUAAUGUUUAAACAAAUCAAUAAUGGGUAGUUGUAAAUACUCUUAAAAUACGUAUUAAAAAUAUUUCAAGUGCAUACAAGUAUUUCUGCAACAUCUCCAACUUAUUUUGGUGUACUUUAUGUAUUAAUUAUUACUAAUUUGGGUAGUCUGUGUUUCUUAGGUCACCCCUAAGCCUUAUUGUUACUAGUUUAACAUAUUGCUGUCAGUAAAUUUGUGCCAGAAAAAAGGGAUUAAGUUUGUAGGGAAGGUAAGCUUGUAUGCUAAAUGUGGCAAUGGUGGUGUUCAACUUAUUAAGAACUUUAAACUAAGUAAUCACUCUAAAUGUGUUUGAUUUUACCUUCAGCUAUUUGUUUUAGCUGCUAUUUGCUUUAACAAUUUUCUAAGUUUACCACAUUAUGUAUCAUUAGCUACUAUCAGUUACAUGGAUUAAUUAAGCGAUCAUACUCAAAAUUAAAAAAAAAAAAGGAUCAAAUGAAGAUUGGAAUAGAGGCAAGCAACGAUAUGGU
This 2660-nucleotide long non-coding RNA is filed under the name Arachis ipaensis. RNAcentral's name for it is "long non-coding RNA (AIPA_LNC000452)". The record is from RNAcentral. Lineage: Eukaryota; Viridiplantae; Streptophyta; Magnoliopsida; Fabales; Fabaceae.